Molecule: ribosomal RNA, 442 nt
Filed under: uncultured bacterium
Lineage: Bacteria
Description: partial 16S ribosomal RNA
Rfam family: Bacterial small subunit ribosomal RNA
Source: RNAcentral
CCUACGGGAGGCAGCAGUGGGGAAUAUUGCGCAAUGGGCGAAACCCUGAUCCAGCGACGCCGCGUGAAUGAAGAAGUAUUUCGGGAUGUAAACCUCUAUCGACAGGGAAGAGCAGAGGACGGUACCUGACGAAUAAGCCCCGGCUAACUACGUGCCAGCAGCCGCGGUAAUACGUAGGUGGCAAGCGUUAUCCGGAUUUACUGGGUGUAAAGGGAGUGUAGCCGGGCAUGCAAGUCAGAUGUGAAAUCCGGGAGCUCAACCCCCGAACUGCAUUGGAAACUGUAGGUCUUGAGUGCCGGAGAGGCAGGCGGAAUUCCUGGUGUAGCGGUGAAAUGCGUAGAUAUUAGGAGGAACACCAGUGGCGAAGGCGGCCUGCUGGACUGCAACUGACGUUGAGGCUCGAAAGCGUGGGGAGCAAACAGGAUUAGAUACCCGAGUAGUC